CACGAAGUUGGAAUUGCUAGUAAUCGUGGAUCAGCAUGCCACGGUGAAUACGUUCCCGGGUCUUGUACACACCGCCCGUCACACCAUGGGAGCCGGUAAUACCCGAAGUCAGUAGUCUAACCGCAAGGAGGACGCUGCCGAAGGUAGGAUUGGCGACUGGGGUGAAGUCGUAACAAGGUAUC
RNAcentral lists this ribosomal RNA (182 nucleotides) under uncultured bacterium. RNAcentral describes it as "partial 16S ribosomal RNA". It matches the Rfam family "Bacterial small subunit ribosomal RNA", at positions 1319 to 1500 of the family's 1533-position model. The record is from RNAcentral.